Molecule: ribosomal RNA, 248 nt
Filed under: uncultured Muribaculaceae bacterium
Lineage: Bacteria; Pseudomonadati; Bacteroidota; Bacteroidia; Bacteroidales; Muribaculaceae
Description: partial 16S ribosomal RNA
Rfam family: Bacterial small subunit ribosomal RNA
Source: RNAcentral
UACGUAGGGAGCGAGCGUUAUCCGGAUUUAUUGGGUGUAAAGGGUGCGUAGGCGGCUUCUUAAGUCUGUAGUCUAAGCCCGGAGCUUAACUCCGGUUCGCUACAGAAACUGAUUAGCUUGAGUAUGGUAGAGGCAAGUGGAAUUUCUAGUGUAGCGGUUAAAUGCGUAGAUAUUAGAAGGAACACCAGUGGCGAAGGCGACUUGCUGGGCCAUCACUGACGCUGAGGCACGAAAGCGUGGGGAGCAAA